RNAcentral lists this ribosomal RNA (253 nucleotides) under uncultured bacterium. RNAcentral's name for it is "partial 16S ribosomal RNA". It matches the Rfam family "Bacterial small subunit ribosomal RNA", at positions 524 to 776 of the family's 1533-position model. The record is from RNAcentral.
UACGAAGGGGGCUAGCGUUGCUCGGAAUCACUGGGCGUAAAGGGUGUGUAGGCGGGUAUUUAAGUCAGUGGUGAAAUCUCCGGGCUCAACCCGGAAACUGCCAUUGAUACUAUUUAUCUUGAAUCUUGUUGAGGUAGGCGGAAUACAUCAUGUAGCGGUGAAAUGCUUAGAUAUGAUGUAGAACACCGAUUGCGAAGGCAGCUUACUAAACAAGCAUUGACGCUGAGGCACGAAAGCGUGGGGAUCAAACAGG